GAGUUUGAUCCUGGCUCAGAACGAACGCUAGCGGCGUGGAUAAGACAUGCAAGUCGAACGGGACCAAGUUUGUAGUAAUACAGACUUGGUUCAGUGGCGCACGGGUGCGUAACACGUGAGCAAUCUGCCGGGAAGUGGGGGAUAGCUCGCCGAAAGGCGAAUUAAUACCGCAUGUGGCCAUCCUUCGAGUGGAGGAAAAGCCAAAGCAGCAAUGCGCUUCCUGAUGAGCUCGCGGCCUAUCAGCUCGAUGGCGGGGUAAUGGCCCACCAUGGCUUUGACGGGUAGCUGGUCUGAGAGGACGACCAGCCACACUGGAACUGAGACACGGUCCAGACACCUACGGGUGGCAGCAGUCGAGAAUUUUUCACAAUGGGGGAAACCCUGAUGGAGCGACGCCGCGUGGAGGAUGAAGGCCUUCGGGUUGUAAACUCGUGUCAUGCGGGAACAAGCAAGUGAUAGUACCGCAAGAGGAAGAGACGGCUAACUCUGUGCCAGCAGCCGCGGUAAUACAGAGGUCUCAAGCGUUGUUCGGAUUCAUUGGGCGUAAAGGGUGCGUAGGUGGUGAUGCAAGUCUGGUGUGAAAUCUCGGAGCUCAACUCCGAAAUUGCACCGGAUACUGCGUGACUCGAGGACUGUAGAGGAGAUCGGAAUUCACGGUGUAGCAGUGAAAUGCGUAGAUAUCGUGAGGAAGACCAGUUGCGAAGGCGGAUCUCUGGGCAGUUCCUGACACUGAGGCACGAAGGCCAGGGGAGCAAACGGGAUUAGAUACCCCGGUAGUCCUGGCAGUAAACGGUGCACGUUUGGUGUGGGCGGGUUCAGACCCCGUCCGUGCCGGAGCUAACGCGUUAAACGUGCCGCCUGGGAAGUACGGUCGCAAGAUUAAAACUCAAAGAAAUUGACGGGGGCCCGCACAAGCGGUGGAGUAUGUGGCUUAAUUCGAUGCAACGCGAAGAACCUUACCUGGCCUUGACAUGCAUUGUGUCCCCGGUGAAAGCCGGGUAUCCUGCAGCAAUGUAGGAGCCUUGCACAGGUGCUGCAUGGCUGUCGUCAGCUCGUGUCGUG
RNAcentral lists this ribosomal RNA (1062 nucleotides) under agricultural soil bacterium SC-I-7. Its description in RNAcentral is "bacterial SSU rRNA". It matches the Rfam family "Bacterial small subunit ribosomal RNA", at positions 9 to 1069 of the family's 1533-position model. The record is from RNAcentral.